Molecule: long non-coding RNA, 303 nt
Filed under: Elaeis guineensis (African oil palm)
Lineage: Eukaryota; Viridiplantae; Streptophyta; Magnoliopsida; Arecales; Arecaceae
Description: long non-coding RNA (EGUI_LNC010634)
Source: RNAcentral
CCAUAGCAUGAUGGCAUGUUAUUUCUCACUUUUCUCCAAUUAUAUCAAUUUUGUGUUUAAAAUUAUUUUUAAAGUAUAUUAUCCCUAUAUCUACAAUUUUCUUCCCAUAUGAACAUCUAGAAUCUUUUUUGCAUGUACGAAAUAUGUGAUUCUUACUAAUAUUAGAGAUAUAGAUUGUGAACGGAGUUUUCCAUACGGCCAUAAAGAAGGUGGAAUUAAUUAAUAUAGCUUGUGUACAGAUUUUUCCAUUUUCUUACCAACUAGGAUCCAGGGUGUCAACAACUCAAAAUAGAUGCAUAAGUG